This 216-nucleotide long non-coding RNA is filed under the name Brassica napus (rape). RNAcentral describes it as "long non-coding RNA (BNAP_LNC023513)". The record is from RNAcentral. Lineage: Eukaryota; Viridiplantae; Streptophyta; Magnoliopsida; Brassicales; Brassicaceae.
GUUUGAAUCGUGGUUUUUUGCAGAAUCGACACUCUUCUAACUUGUCAUCUUCUUUCCAGUAGAUCAUGCAGUUGUCGAUGCAAACAUCAAUCAUCUCCGAAGGCAACCCAAGACUAUAAACCAAUUUAUGAAUCUCAUAAUAAGAUUCAGCAGACACGUUGUCUUCUGGCAAAUACUCUUUAAACAACUCCGCCCAUGCAUCCAUGCAAUUCUCAG